GUGUGUUGGUAGCCCUAUAAGGACAGCGAAGUUUUUUGUGCUGGGGUGGUAUGCUGAUCACAAAGUGAAUUCUUCUGGUAGAAUACUGGGUAUAUGUGUGUUGUGGGCGGGGUUGGAGGUUCCUGUUUGGGUCCACUUGGGAGAUCUUGCUGAAAAAGAGCUUUUCAUUCAGCCCCAGAGGUAGGGGGCGCUAGAGUCCAGGCUCCGGAGUCGGUUACCCAGAGGGAGCCUUAUCUGUGGUGGCUUGUAGUGGAUGCCCAGCAACAUCCCUAAUCUGAAAAUGAUAUAGAAGGUAUCAGUCCCACCUUUUCUAGCAGUCACUAGAGAGACUCCUGGGCAAUUUUUUGGAUUUCAUCUUAUUGCCUGAAGGAAAUUCUUGAAAGUCUGACAACAAUUCAUCAGAGAGGAAGCUGUGGGGGUUAAGACAAAGAACUAGAUCUCUUCGCCCAAAUUUCUGCCUACUGCCAAUAAGGGUCAUCAUGCUUCAUCACAGAGGUUGUUCAGGUCUCGGCUUUGAACGAGAUUUUCUGGACCCAGUUGACUCACCGGGCACAUUGAUUUUACUGAUUCCUGUGGAUGACUUGGAAGAUGAUGUGGAAGAAAUAAUCGAAAUAUAUGAAGAUUCGGGGAAUGAUAGUGGAGAGGUAGAGGAGGAGGAAGCUGAACAGGAAGGGGCUGUGGAGGAGGAGGAGGUGGAAGAGGUGGAGGAGGAAGAAAUAGAGCUGGAAAUAGGAAAAUAUAUUGAAGAGAAUGAGGAAUAGAAAUGAGAAAUUAAAAAAAGAGGAGGAGAAAGAGGAGGAGAAAGAGGAAGAGGGGGAAGAGGAGGAAGAGGAGGAGAAAGAGGAGGAGGGGGAAGAGGAGGAGGAGGAGAAAGAGGAGGAGGAGGGGGAGGAGGAGGAGGAAGAAUAAAAGGAGGAAGAAGAAGAUUCAAUGCAAUGUACCUUUAUUUGCUAAGCUCAUGCAAGGAAACAAGAAAAUGUUAAUAAAUCUUAAUAAAAUUUGCUUACUGGUUCAUUUACUUAACAAA
Non-coding RNA from Rattus norvegicus (Norway rat), 1027 nucleotides. Lineage: Eukaryota; Metazoa; Chordata; Mammalia; Rodentia; Muridae. The record is from RefSeq and is a predicted model, not a curated record.